UACGGAGGGUGCGAGCGUUGUCCGGAAUCACUGGGCGUAAAGGGCGCGUAGGCGGUUGGGGAAGUCCGUGGUGAAAGCUCGUGGCUCAACUACGAGUCGGCCAUGGAUACUCCUUGACUUGAGCACUGUAGAGGCAGAUGGAAUUCCGGGUGUAGCGGUGGAAUGCGUAGAGAUCCGGAAGAACACCGGUGGCGAAGGCGGUCUGCUGGGCAGUAGCUGACGCUGAGGCGCGACAGCGUGGGGAGCGAACAGG
Molecule: ribosomal RNA, 253 nt
Filed under: uncultured bacterium
Lineage: Bacteria
Description: partial 16S ribosomal RNA
Rfam family: Bacterial small subunit ribosomal RNA
Source: RNAcentral